RNAcentral lists this ribosomal RNA (1358 nucleotides) under uncultured bacterium. RNAcentral's name for it is "bacterial SSU rRNA". It matches the Rfam family "Bacterial small subunit ribosomal RNA", at positions 28 to 1381 of the family's 1533-position model. The record is from RNAcentral.
GAUGAACGCUAGCUACAGGCUUAACACAUGCAAGUCGAGGGGCAGCAUGGUCUUAGCUUGCUAAGGCCGAUGGCGACCGGCGCACGGGUGAGUAACACGUAUCCAACCUGCCGUCUACUCUUGGACAGCCUUCUGAAAGGAAGAUUAAUACAAGAUGGCAUCAUGAGUCCACAUGUUCACAUGAUUAAAGGUAUUCCGGUAGACGAUGGGGAUGCGUUCCAUUAGAUAGUAGGCGGGGUAAUGGCCCACCUAGUCUUCGAUGGGUAGGGGUUCUGAGAGGAAGGUCCCCCACAUUGGAACUGAGACACGGUCCAAACUCCUACGGGAGGCAGCAGUGAGGAAUAUUGGUCAAUGGGCGAGAGCCUGAACCAGCCAAGUAGCGUGAAGGAUGACUGCCCUAUGGGUUGUAAACUUCUUUUAUAAAGGAAUAAAGUCGGGUAUGCAUACCCGUUUGCAUGUACUUUAUGAAUAAGGAUCGGCUAACUCCGUGCCAGCAGCCGCGGUAAUACGGAGGAUCCGAGCGUUAUCCGGAUUUAUUGGGUUUAAAGGGAGCGUAGAUGGAUGUUUAAGUCAGUUGUGAAAGUUUGCGGCUCAACCGUAAAAUUGCAGUUGAUACUGGAUAUCUUGAGUGCAGUUGAGGCAGGCGGAAUUCGUGGUGUAGCGGUGAAAUGUUUAGAUAUCACGAAGAACUCCGAUUGCGAAGGCAGCCUGCUAAGCUGCAACUGACAUUGAGGCUCGAAAGUGUGGGUAUCAAACAGGAUUAGAUACCCUGGUAGUCCACACGGUAAACGAUGAAUACUCGCUGUUUGCGAUAUACAGCAAGCGGCCAAGCGAAAGCGUUAAGUAUUCCACCUGGGGAGUACGCCGGCAACGGUGAAACUCAAAGGAAUUGACGGGGGCCCGCACAAGCGGAGGAACAUGUGGUUUAAUUCGAUGAUACGCGAGGAACCUUACCCGGGCUUAAAUUGCAGAUGAAUUACGGUGAAAGCCGUAAGCCGCAAGGCAUCUGUGAAGGUGCUGCAUGGUUGUCGUCAGCUCGUGCCGUGAGGUGUCGGCUUAAGUGCCAUAACGAGCGCAACCCUUGUUGUCAGUUACUAACAGGUUCCGCUGAGGACUCUGACAAGACUGCCAUCGUAAGAUGUGAGGAAGGUGGGGAUGACGUCAAAUCAGCACGGCCCUUACGUCCGGGGCUACACACGUGUUACAAUGGGGGGUACAGAGGGCCGCUACCACGCGAGUGGAUGCCAAUCCCCAAAACCUCUCUCAGUUCGGACUGGAGUCUGCAACCCGACUCCACGAAGCUGGAUUCGCUAGUAAUCGCGCAUCAGCCACGGCGCGGUGAAUACGUUCCCGGGCCU